Non-coding RNA from Acanthoscelides obtectus, 72 nucleotides. The record is from the annotation of a GenBank genome assembly. Lineage: Eukaryota; Metazoa; Arthropoda; Insecta; Coleoptera; Chrysomelidae.
UCCUCUAUAGCGCAGUGGCAGAGCACUGGCUUUGUAAGCCAAGAGUUGCGAGUUCAAUCCUCACAGGACGCA